This 73-nucleotide transfer RNA is filed under the name Cerataphis brasiliensis yeast-like symbiont. Its description in RNAcentral is "tRNA-Val (TAC) (tRNA-Val-TAC-1-1)". It matches the Rfam family "tRNA". Rfam says of the family: Transfer RNA (tRNA) molecules are approximately 80 nucleotides in length. The record is from RNAcentral. Lineage: Eukaryota; Fungi; Ascomycota.
GGUCGCAUAGCUCAGGGGCUAGAGCGGUUGCUUUACACGCAAUAGGUCGCAGGUUCGAUCCCUGCUGCGAUCA